GAUGAACGCUGGCGGCGUGCCUAAUACAUGCAAGUCGAGCGAACAGACGAGGAGCUUGCUCCUCUGACGUUAGCGGCGGACGGGUGAGUAACACGUGGAUAACCUACCUAUAAGACUGGGAUAACUUCGGGAAACCGGAGCUAAUACCGGAUAAUAUAUUGAACCGCAUGGUUCAAUAGUGAAAGACGGUUUUGCUGUCACUUAUAGAUGGAUCCGCGCCGCAUUAGCUAGUUGGUAAGGUAACGGCUUACCAAGGCGACGAUGCGUAGCCGACCUGAGAGGGUGAUCGGCCACACUGGAACUGAGACACGGUCCAGACUCCUACGGGAGGCAGCAGUAGGGAAUCUUCCGCAAAGGGCGAAAGCCUGACGGAGCAACGCCGCGUGAGUGAUGAAGGUCUUCUGAUCGUAAAACUCUGUUAUUAGGGAAGAACAAAUGUGUAAGUAACUAUGCACGUCUUGACGGUACCUAAUCAGAAAGCCACGGCUAACUACGUG
RNAcentral lists this ribosomal RNA (497 nucleotides) under uncultured bacterium. RNAcentral's name for it is "partial 16S ribosomal RNA". It matches the Rfam family "Bacterial small subunit ribosomal RNA", at positions 28 to 507 of the family's 1533-position model. The record is from RNAcentral.